AGUCGAACGAUGAAGCGACUAGCUUGCUAGUUGUGGAUUAGUGGCGCACGGGUGAGUAAGGUAUAGUUAAUCUGCCCUACACAAGAGGACAACAGUUGGAAACGACUGCUAAUACUCUAUACUCCUGCUUAACAUAAGUUGAGUAGGGAAAGUUUUUCGGUGUAGGAUGAGACUAUAUAGUAUCAGCUAGUUGGUGAGGUAAUGGCUCACCAAGGCUAUGACGCUUAACUGGUCUGAGAGGAUGAUCAGUCACACUGGAACUGAGACACGGUCCAGACUCCUACGGGAGGCAGCAGUAGGGAAUAUUGCGCAAUGGGGGAAACCCUGACGCAGCAACGCCGCGUGGAGGAUGACACUUUUCGGAGCGUAAACUCCUUUUCUUAGGGAAGAAUUCUGACGGUACCUAAGGAAUAAGCACCGGCUAACUCCGUGCCAGCAGCCGCGGUAAUACGGAGGGUGCAAGCGUUACUCGGAAUCACUGGGCGUAAAGGGCGCGUAGGCGGAUUAUCAAGUCUCUUGUGAAAUCCAACGGCUUAACCGUUGAACUGCUUGGGAAACUGGUAAUCUAGAGUGGGGGAGAGGCAGAUGGAAUUGGUGGUGUAGGGGUAAAAUCCGUAGAUAUCACCAAGAAUACCCAUUGCGAAGGCGAUCUGCUGGAACUUAACUGACGCUAAGGCNNNNNAGCGUGGGGAGCAAACAGGAUUAGAUACCCUGGUAGUCCACGCCCUAAACGAUGUAUGCUAGUUGUUGGGGUGCUAGUCAUCUCAGUAAUGCAGCUAACGCAUUAAGCAUACCGCCUGGGGAGUACGGUCGCAAGAUUAAAACUCAAAGGAAUAGACGGGGACCCGCACAAGCGGUGGAGCAUGUGGUUUAAUUCGAAGAUACGCGAAGAACCUUACCUGGGCUUGAUAUCCUAAGAACCUUAUAGAGAUAUGAGGGUGCUAGCUUGCUAGAACUUAGAGACAGGUGCUGCACGGCUGUCGUCAGCUCGUGUCGUGAGAUGUUGGGUUAAGUCCCGCAACGAGCGCAACCCACGUAUUUAGUUGCUAACACUUCGGGUGAGCACUCUAAAUAGACUGCCUUCGUAAGGAGGAGGAAGGUGUGGACGACGUCAAGUCAUCAUGGCCCUUAUGCCCAGGGCGACACACGUGCUACAAUGGCAUAUACAAUGAGACGCAAUACCGCGAGGUGGAGCAAAUCUAUAAAAUAUGUCCCAGUUCGGAUUGUUCUCUGCAACUCGAGAGCAUGAAGCCGGAAUCGCUAGUAAUCGUAGAUCAGCCAUGCUACGGUGAAUACGUUCCCGGGUCUUGUACUCACCGCCCGUCACACCAUGGGAGUUGAUUUCACUCGAAGCCGGAAUACUAA
RNAcentral lists this ribosomal RNA (1365 nucleotides) under Campylobacter lari. RNAcentral describes it as "bacterial SSU rRNA". It matches the Rfam family "Bacterial small subunit ribosomal RNA", at positions 60 to 1438 of the family's 1533-position model. The record is from RNAcentral. Lineage: Bacteria; Pseudomonadati; Campylobacterota; Epsilonproteobacteria; Campylobacterales; Campylobacteraceae.